GAUGAACGCUGGCGGCGUGCCUAAUACAUGCAAGUCGAGCGAACAGACGAGGAGCUUGCUCCUCUGACGUUAGCGGCGGACGGGUGAGUAACACGUGGAUAACCUACCUAUAAGACUGGGAUAACUUCGGGAAACCGGAGCUAAUACCGGAUAAUAUAUUGAACCGCAUGGUUCAAUAGUGAAAGACGGUUUUGCUGUCACUUAUAGAUGGAUCCGCGCCGCAUUAGCUAGUUGGUAAGGUAACGGCUUACCAAGGCAACGAUGCGUAGCCGACCUGAGAGGGUGAUCGGCCACACUGGAACUGAGACACGGUCCAGAGUCCUACGGGAGGCAGCAGUAGGGAAUCUUCCGCAAUGGGCGAAAGCUUGACGGAGCAACGCCGCGUGAGUGAUGAAGGUCUUCGGAUCGUAAAACUCUGUUAUUAGGGAAGAACAAAUGUGUAAGUAACUAUGCACGUCUUGACGGUACCUAAUCAGAAAGCCACGGCUAACUACGUG
Molecule: ribosomal RNA, 497 nt
Filed under: uncultured bacterium
Lineage: Bacteria
Description: partial 16S ribosomal RNA
Rfam family: Bacterial small subunit ribosomal RNA
Source: RNAcentral